This 433-nucleotide ribosomal RNA is filed under the name uncultured bacterium. RNAcentral describes it as "partial 16S ribosomal RNA". It matches the Rfam family "Bacterial small subunit ribosomal RNA", at positions 29 to 507 of the family's 1533-position model. The record is from RNAcentral.
AACGAACGCUGGCGGCAUGCCUAACACAUGCAAGUCGAACGAGACCCUCGGGUCUAGUGGCGCACGGGUGCGUAACGCGUGGGAACCUGCCCUUAGGUUCGGAAUAACUCCCCGAAAGGGGUGCUAAUACCGGAUAAUGUCUUCGGACCAAAGAUUUAUCGCCUUUGGAUGGGCCCGCGUUGGAUUAGCUAGUUGGUAGGGUAAAAGCCUACCAAGGCGACGAUCCAUAGCUGGUCUGAGAGGAUGAUCAGCCACACUGGGACUGAGACACGGCCCAGACUCCUACGGGAGGCAGCAGUGGGGAAUAUUGGACAAUGGGCGAAAGCCUGAUCCAGCAAUGCCGCAUGAGUGAUGAAGGCCUUAGGGUUGUAAAGCUCUUUUACCCGGGACGAUAAUGACAGUACCGGGAGAAUAAGCUCCGGCUAACUCCGUG